UCUUUAUAGCUUGCUAUGAAGAAUAAUUAGUGGCAGACGGGUGAGUAAUGCAUAGGAAUCUACCUAGUAGUAUGGGAUAGCCACUAGAAAUGGUGGGUAAUACUGUAUAAUCCCUGCGGGGGAAAGAUUUAUCGCUAUUAGAUGAGCCUAUGUUAGAUUAGCUAGUUGGUAGGGUAAAGGCCUACCAAGGCGAUGAUCUAUAGCUGGUCUGAGAGGAUGAUCAGCCACACUGGAACUGAGAUACGGUCCAGACUCCUACGGGAGGCAGCAGUGGGGAAUAUUGGACAAUGGGCGCAAGCCUGAUCCAGCUAUGCCGCGUGAGUGAGGAAGGCCUUAGGGUUGUAAAACUCUUUCAGUAGGGAAGAUAAUGACGGUACCUACAGAAGAAGUCCCGGCAAACUCCGUGCCAGCAGCCGCGGUAAUACGGAGGGGGCAAGCGUUGUUCGGAAUUAUUGGGCGUAAAGGGCAUGUAGGCGGUUCGGUAAGUUAAAGGUGAAAUGCCAGGGCUUAACCCUGGAGCUGCU
This 524-nucleotide ribosomal RNA is filed under the name Anaplasma phagocytophilum. RNAcentral describes it as "bacterial SSU rRNA". It matches the Rfam family "Bacterial small subunit ribosomal RNA", at positions 70 to 625 of the family's 1533-position model. Lineage: Bacteria; Pseudomonadati; Pseudomonadota; Alphaproteobacteria; Rickettsiales; Anaplasmataceae. The record is from RNAcentral.